This 600-nucleotide ribosomal RNA is filed under the name uncultured archaeon. Its description in RNAcentral is "bacterial SSU rRNA". It matches the Rfam family "Archaeal small subunit ribosomal RNA", at positions 75 to 672 of the family's 1478-position model. The record is from RNAcentral.
CCACCGGCGGACGGCUCAGUAACACGUCGGUAACCUACCCUCGGGAGGGGGAUAACCCCGGGAAACUGGGGCUAAUUCCCCAUAGGCCUGAGGUACUGGAAGGUCCUCAGGCCGAAAGGGACUUAUGUCCGCCCGAGGAUGGGCCGGCGGCCGAUUAGGUAGUUGGUGGGGUAAUGGCCCACCAAGCCGAAGAUCGGUACGGGCUGUGAGAGCAGGAGCCCGGAGAUGGACACUGAGACACGGGUCCAGGCCCUACGGGGCGCAGCAGGCGCGAAACCUCCGCAAUGCGGGAAACCGCGACGGGGGGACCCCGAGUGCCGUGGCAACGCCACGGCUUUUCCGGAGUGUAAAAAGCUCCGGGAAUAAGGGCUGGGCAAGGCCGGUGGCAGCCGCCGCGGUAAUACCGGCGGCCCGAGUGGUGGCCGCUAUUAUUGGGCCUAAAGCGUCCGUAGCCGGGCCCGUAAGUCCCUGGCGAAAUCCCACGGCUCAACCGUGGGGCUUGCUGGGGAUACUGCGGGUCUUGGGACCGGGAGAGGCGGGGGGUACCCCUGGGGUAGGGGUGAAAUCCUAUAAUCCCAGGGGGACCGCCAGUGGCGAAGG